CAGGGGGGCAAAUAGGUUUUAUGUCAGGGAGGCAUCCAUCACUAUUUAUUAUGUUUAUGGACUCAUUUUCUACUUGAGACUCAAGGUGGAUUACAUGGUAUAAAGCAAUGUAAUCAAAUAGCAUGACAGA
Sphaerodactylus townsendi is the source of this 130-nucleotide long non-coding RNA. RefSeq lists it as uncharacterized. Lineage: Eukaryota; Metazoa; Chordata; Lepidosauria; Squamata; Sphaerodactylidae. The record is from RefSeq and is a predicted model, not a curated record. The transcript is spliced from 3 exons.